This 351-nucleotide ribosomal RNA is filed under the name Globia sparganii. Its description in RNAcentral is "partial 12S small subunit ribosomal RNA". The record is from RNAcentral. Lineage: Eukaryota; Metazoa; Arthropoda; Insecta; Lepidoptera; Noctuidae.
AAAAUUUAAAAUUAAAAUACUAAAAUAGUAGAUAAUUAUUUAUUGAAACUUAAAUAAUUUGGCGGUAUUUUAGUUCAUUUAGAGGAAUCUGUUUAAUAAUUGAUAAUCCACGAAUAAAUUUACUUAAUUUAUAAUUUUGUAUAUCGUUGUUAAAAAAAUAUUUUUUAAUAAAAUUAAUAUUUAAAAAUUAUAAUAUAAAUUUAAAUCAGAUCAAGAUGCAGAUUAUAAUUAAGAAUAUAAUGGAUUACAAUAAAUUUAUUUAAAUGAAUAUUAAUUUGUAAAAAUUAAUUGAAAGUGGAUUUAAAUGUAAUUUUAUUUAAUUUAAUAAAAUGAUUAAAAAUUAAAAUAUGU